AAAACCCCAACGAUACAUGGAGGCAUCAUGGGUUUGUAACUGAAGGACAAACACAAUGAGAUAAAUGAAUCAAUGCAAUCUGACACUGGAGUGAUGGGCUGUGGACGAUUAUAUAGCGCAUAAAACAAUGACGACGUCAGACUGCACGUGAAACCACAAGCCGAAGUGACAGGAAGUAAAGCCACUGAAAAUACACAUGGAGUAGGUGUCAAAGUAAAAGCACGAGAAAUAACCAACAUAGAGGUAAAAGAGAGAGCAAUAAUAGAUACAGUAAAUACUAAAAAUAUAAGACGCAGCAGAUAACAGAAGAGACAGAAACUCAAAGAUCAGUAAAUUAAUACCAGAGACGUGAACCAUGAGAGCACCAGGCUCAGUGGUGUGGAACACAAGCGGCUGCCUGCUUUCAACAUGCUCCAUUCAUGUAAACACACAACUGCUUAAACUGCAAAUCUGCAUUAAGAUUAACACAGUUGUUACUUUAAAAACAAAUUAAUAUGUAUUUCAAACUAUUAUGUAAACCUGCCAAUUCACCAUGGUUCACAUGAGUGCCAAACCGUGAGGGGUGGGCCACACGGAUCCAUAUGAUUCAUUAGACCCCAAUUACAAACUGAAGCACUUCAAGUUGGUCCAUCACUUUUUUCAGUGUAAAAGCUUCCCUUAAAGGCUCCUCAGUGCCGGUAACGAGACCAUGGUUAUUGUAAUGCUACUAGAAAUUAGUUUUAUAAUCAACUGUCUCCUUGUAGAUGAGAAAGGUAACGUCACAUAAGCAAAAGACAGAAAAAUAUGAAAAUCAGAGCUGAUUACACUUUCUUAUUAAUCUUCAAACAGAGAAUAACACAGGUUAUCCAAAGAUAAGAAGCAAAUUUCAGUCAUUUAAAGCAUGAAGCUUGAGAUGUAUUCAAGCUUGUGAAUGUGAACGUUUGACUUGUCGUAAAGUGUUUACAAAUCAGAAUUCCAGUACAGUUAAGCUUCAGGAAAAGCAAAAACAUUCCACUCAUGAGGAUCCGUGUCGUGGGAUCAGAGUCAGUGACCACAGGAAUCUCUUCCAAUCAGUUAACGGUGCCAUUAUGAUUUAUGGUGAUAUGUUAUAGGUAUUUUCAUUGAGGAUUCAUUUGGUAACAUAAGCAUGAAGAAUGCUGGGCGUUAUGGUGCUCCUCAGAGCAUGAGGU
Long non-coding RNA from Thalassophryne amazonica, 1169 nucleotides. RefSeq lists it as uncharacterized. The record is from RefSeq and is a predicted model, not a curated record. The transcript is spliced from 3 exons. Lineage: Eukaryota; Metazoa; Chordata; Actinopteri; Batrachoidiformes; Batrachoididae.